UCUAAUAUGGCAGAAUAGUGCAGUGGAUUUAAACCCCAAAUAUAAAGUAUUUCACUUUUUUUAGAA
This 66-nucleotide transfer RNA is filed under the name Hydrochus sp. BMNH1425167. Its description in RNAcentral is "tRNA-Leu". The record is from RNAcentral. Lineage: Eukaryota; Metazoa; Arthropoda; Insecta; Coleoptera; Hydrochidae.